AUAAACGCUGGCGGCGUGCCUUAGGCAUGCAAGUCGAAUGGUUUAUUGACCGCAAGGUCUUUAAGCAAUGGCGGACGGGUGAGUAAUGGUAGGGAAUCUACCCCAAAGUGAAGGAUAGCUCGCCGAAAGGCGGGGUAAUCCUGCAUGUGGUCGCAAGAUUAAAGGGCAUAACUGCCCGCUUUGGGAGGAGCCCUACUCCUAUCAGCUUGUUGGUAAGGUAACGGCUUACCAAGGCUAUGACGGGUAGGGGGCGUGAGAGCGUGUCCCCCCACAAUGGCACUGUGAUACGGGCCAUACACCUACGGGUGGCAGCAACCGGGAAUCGUCGGCAAUGGACGAAAGUCUGACCGCGCGACGCCGCGUGAAGGAUGAAGCCCUUCGGGGUGUAAACUUCUUUUAUUUGUUCACAUGGACAUUUGAAUAAGCAUCUACUAACUACGU
RNAcentral lists this ribosomal RNA (441 nucleotides) under uncultured bacterium. Its description in RNAcentral is "bacterial SSU rRNA". It matches the Rfam family "Bacterial small subunit ribosomal RNA", at positions 29 to 506 of the family's 1533-position model. The record is from RNAcentral.